AUACGUAGGGUGCGAGCGUUAAUCGGAAUUACUGGGCGUAAAGCGUGCGCAGGUGGUUUUGUAAGUCAGAUGUGAAAUCCCCGGGCUUAACCUGGGAACUGCGUUUGAAACUGCAAGGCUAGAGUGUGGCAGAGGGGGGUGGAAUUCCGCGUGUAGCAGUGAAAUGCGUAGAGAUGUGGAGGAAAACCGAUGGCGAAGGCAGCCCCCUGGGUUAACACUGACGCUCAGGCACGAAAGCAUGGGGAGCAAACAGGAUUAGAUACCCCAGUAGUCC
RNAcentral lists this ribosomal RNA (274 nucleotides) under uncultured bacterium. Its description in RNAcentral is "partial 16S ribosomal RNA". It matches the Rfam family "Bacterial small subunit ribosomal RNA", at positions 523 to 796 of the family's 1533-position model. The record is from RNAcentral.